Molecule: ribosomal RNA, 468 nt
Filed under: uncultured bacterium
Lineage: Bacteria
Description: partial 16S ribosomal RNA
Rfam family: Bacterial small subunit ribosomal RNA
Source: RNAcentral
GACGAACGCUGGCGGCGUGCUUAACACAUGCAAGUCGAACGGAAAGGCCCUGCUUUUGUGGGGUGCUCGAGUGGCGAACGGGUGAGUAACACGUGAGUAACCUGCCCUUGACUUUGGGAUAACUUCAGGAAACUGGGGCUAAUACCGGAUAGGAGCUCCUGCUGCAUGGUGGGGGUUGGAAAGUUUCGGCGGGUGGGGAUGGACUCGCGGCUUAUCAGCUUGUUGGUGGGGUAGUGGCUUACCAAGGCUUUGACGGGUAGCCGGCCUGAGAGGGUGACCGGCCACAUGGGUACUGAGAGACGGCCCAGACUCCUACGGGAGGCAGCAGUGGCGAAUAUUGCACAAUGGGCGGAAGCCUGAUGCAGCAACGCCGCGUGCGGGAUGACGGCCUUCGGGUUGUAAACCGCUUUCGCCUGUGACGAAGCGUGAGUGACGGUAAUGGGUAAAGAAGCACCGGCUAACUACGUG